RNAcentral lists this ribosomal RNA (287 nucleotides) under uncultured beta proteobacterium. RNAcentral describes it as "partial 16S ribosomal RNA". It matches the Rfam family "Bacterial small subunit ribosomal RNA", at positions 485 to 771 of the family's 1533-position model. Lineage: Bacteria; Pseudomonadati; Pseudomonadota; Betaproteobacteria. The record is from RNAcentral.
AAGAAGCACCGGCUAACUACGUGCCAGCAGCCGCGGUAAUACGUAGGGUGCGAGCGUUAAUCGGAAUUACUGGGCGUAAAGCGUGCGCAGGCGGCUUUUUAAGUCAGAUGUGAAAUCCCCGGGCUUAACCUGGGAACUGCAUUUGGAACUGGAAGGCUAGAGUGUAGCAGAGGGGGGUAGAAUUCCACGUGUAGCGGUGAAAUGCGUAGAGAUGUGGAGGAAUACCGAUGGCGAAGGCAGCCCCCUGGGCUAACACUGACGCUCAUGCACGAAAGCGUGGGGAGCAA